AUUGAACGCUGGCGGCAUGCCUAACACAUGCAAGUCGAGCGGAUGAAGGGAGCUUGCUCCUGGAUUCAGCGGCGGACGGGUGAGUAAUGCCUAGGAAUCUGCCUGGUAGUGGGGGAUAACGUCCGGAAACGGGCGCUAAUACCGCAUACGUCCUGAGGGAGAAAGUGGUGGAUCUUCGGACCUCACGCUAUCAGAUGAGCCUAGGUCGUAUUAGCUAGUUGGUGAGGUAAAGGCCUACCAAGGCGACGAUCCGUAACUGGUCUGAGAGGAUGAUCAGUCACACUGGAACUGAGACACGGUCCAGACUCCUACGGGAGGCAGCAGUGGGGAAUAUUGGACAAUGGGCGAAAGCCUGAUCCAGCCAUGCCGCGUGUGUGAAGAAGGUCUUCGGAUUGUAAAGCACUUUAAGUUGGGAGGAAGGGAAGUAAGUUAAUACAUUGCUGUUUUGACGUUACCAACAGAAUAAGCACCGGCUAACUUCGUG
This 484-nucleotide ribosomal RNA is filed under the name uncultured bacterium. RNAcentral describes it as "partial 16S ribosomal RNA". It matches the Rfam family "Bacterial small subunit ribosomal RNA", at positions 30 to 507 of the family's 1533-position model. The record is from RNAcentral.